RNAcentral lists this ribosomal RNA (593 nucleotides) under Ascomycota sp. UNEX FECRGA 2012E046. RNAcentral describes it as "eukaryotic LSU rRNA". The stretch from base 234 to 387 matches the Rfam family "5.8S ribosomal RNA". The record is from RNAcentral. Lineage: Eukaryota; Fungi; Ascomycota.
AGAGGAAGUAAAAGUCGUAACAAGGUCUCCGUAGGUGAACCUGCGGAGGGAUCAUUACACAAAUAUGAAGGCAGACUGGGCGCCCUCUAGGGGGCCCCUUCUGACGCCAUAUUCACCCAUGUCUUUUGCGUACUACUUGUUUCCUUGGCGGGUUCGCCCGCCAAUUGGACCCCAUUUAAACCUUUUUUUAUUGUAAUUGCAAUCAGCGUCAGCAAAAUAAUGUAAUAAAUUACAACUUUCAACAACGGAUCUCUUGGUUCUGGCAUCGAUGAAGAACGCAGCGAAAUGCGAUAAGUAGUGUGAAUUGCAGAAUUCAGUGAAUCAUCGAAUCUUUGAACGCACAUUGCGCCCUUUGGUAUUCCAAAGGGCAUGCCUGUUCGAGCGUCAUUUGUACCCUCAAGCUUUGCUUGGUGUUGGGCGUUUUUGUCUUGGGUUCGCCCGAGACUCGCCUUAAAAUCAUUGGCAGCCGGCCUACUGGUUUCGGAGCGCAGCACAUUUUUGCGCUUUGUCCAGUUGCGGUCCGCGUCCAUGAAGCGAACAUCUUCCACGUUUGACCUCGGAUCAGGUAGGGAUACCCGCUGAACUUAAGCAUA